UCAAGUGUGAAUUUGCUUCUCUGCUGAUGAGGCAUGUCCACCACCACCACCAGCCGCCGCCGCCGUGUACGGUGGUCAGCAUUCGAGCCAAGGCGAAAAGAUUCGAUUUCAAAUUAAAGUCAUCAAGACUACUAAUCUUUCCCUUUCGUAAGCUUCUCCAAUUCUCGAUCCGAUUAAAGAUCCACCCAUAUUUAUUGGAAAUCAAAUCCAAACCCGAAUCCUCUCUUCUCUCUAAAACAAAAUCCUUAAACCUCAAAUUCCUGAACAUAAUCAAGAAUUUUCGCCGUAAACGUCACAAAAACAAAGGCAUUGUUGCCCAUAAGAAAUACUUGUUGUAUGGAAGAAAAGGAAGAGGAGGCAGGUGCAUUUGGUUGUGUGCUCUGCUUUUGGCAUGCUUUAUAAUUAUAGUUCAUGUUAUGCAUAAAUAUUAUUUUGUAUGGAAAUAUAUUUGGAAGGCUUGUCGUUAUGCUGCUCCUUAUGGCCUUCUCAACCAUUUUUUCAAGGUGGUCUUCGAUGGUAUUUUACAAUCUUUGAAAACGGGCUAUGAUUUAUACUAUAAUGUUUGAAAAUGACAUCCCAAAGUGAGAUUUCGUGGGAGGACGUGUCAUUUGAUUGUAUUGUAGUUUGAAAAGAAUCAUUUGACUAACACACGCAGGAAUAAUGUCUUUUAAUUUAUCAAUCAAAAAAAAAAAAAGUCUUUUAAACGAUUAAUCAUCAUUAAUUCAUAGGAGAAAUUUGAAAGUUAUUUGCAUUACAUUUCUCUUUUUUGUAAUUUUCUUUGGGAAAGGACUUCGAUUAUUCCACAUGUAUUUGGGGAUAUAACUGUGCAUUUUGAAACAAAUCAACGGUACUGAAUCCGUGAAUAUACUAUGCAACAAUGCGGUUAUGUUUAAA
Non-coding RNA from Erythranthe guttata (spotted monkey flower), 894 nucleotides. The record is from RefSeq and is a predicted model, not a curated record. Lineage: Eukaryota; Viridiplantae; Streptophyta; Magnoliopsida; Lamiales; Phrymaceae.